ACGCGAAGGGGGCUUCGGUCCUGAGUAGAGUGGCGAACGGGUGAGUAACACGUGGGUGAUCUACCUUCGAGUGGGGGAUAACGUUCCGAAAGGAACGCUAAUACCGCAUGACGUUCUGGGUUUAAAGACCUGGAAACCAAAGCCGGGGACCGCAAGGCCUGGCGCUUGGAGAGGAGCCCGCGUCCGAUUAGCUAGUUGGCGGGGUAACGGCCCACCAAGGCGACGAUCGGUAGCCGGCCUGAGAGGGCGGACGGCCACACUGGAACUGAGACACGGUCCAGACUCCUACGGGAGGCAGCAGUGGGGAAUUGUUCACAAUGGGCGCAAGCCUGAUGACGCAACGCCGCGUGGGGGAUGAAGGUCUUCGGAUUGUAAACCCCUGUCGAAUGGGACGAAAGACUCUGGAGCUAAUCAUCCGGAGAGUGACGGUACCGUUAAAGGAAGCCACGGCUAACUCUGUGCCAGCAGCCGCGGUAAUACAGAGGUGGCAAGCGUUGUUCGGAAUUACUGGGCGUAAAGGGCGCGUAGGCGGCCUUCUAAGUCAGACGUGAAAUCCCCCGGCUUAACCUGGGAACUGCGUCUGAUACUGGGAGGCUAGAGUAUGGGAGAGGGAUGUAGAAUUCCAGGUGUAGCGGUGAAAUGCGUAGAUAUCUGGAGGAAUACCGGUGGCGAAGGCGGCAUCCUGGACCAUUACUGACGCUGAGGCGCGAAAGCUAGGGGAGCAAACGGGAUUAGAUACCCCGGUAGUCCUAGCCCUAAACGAUGAAUACUUGGUGUGGCGGGUAUCGAUCCCUGCCGUGCCGAAGCUAACGCAUUAAGUA
This 821-nucleotide ribosomal RNA is filed under the name uncultured bacterium. RNAcentral describes it as "bacterial SSU rRNA". It matches the Rfam family "Bacterial small subunit ribosomal RNA", at positions 66 to 866 of the family's 1533-position model. The record is from RNAcentral.